Molecule: ribosomal RNA, 429 nt
Filed under: Pseudomonadota bacterium
Lineage: Bacteria; Pseudomonadati; Pseudomonadota
Description: Proteobacteria bacterium partial 16S ribosomal RNA
Rfam family: Bacterial small subunit ribosomal RNA
Source: RNAcentral
UGGGGAAUAUUGGACAAUGGGCGAAAGCCUGAUCCAGCCAUGCCGCGUGUGUGAAGAAGGUCUUCGGAUUGUAAAGCACUUUAAGUUGGGAGGAAGGGCAGUAAGCGAAUACCUUGCUGUUUUGACGUUACCGACAGAAUAAGCACCGGCUAACUCUGUGCCAGCAGCCGCGGUAAUACAGAGGGUGCAAGCGUUAAUCGGAAUUACUGGGCGUAAAGCGCGCGUAGGUGGUUCGUUAAGUUGAAUGUGAAAGCCCCGGGCUCAACCUGGGAACUGCAUCCAAAGCUGGCGAGCUAGAGUAUGGCAGAGGGUGGUGGAAUUUCCUGUGUAGCGGUGAAAUGCGUAGAUAUAGGAAGGAACACCAGUGGCGAAGGCGACCACCUGGGCUCAUACUGACACUGAGGUGCGAAAGCGUGGGGAGCAAACAGG